Molecule: long non-coding RNA, 840 nt
Organism: Humulus lupulus (European hop)
Lineage: Eukaryota; Viridiplantae; Streptophyta; Magnoliopsida; Rosales; Cannabaceae
Exons: 4
Source: RefSeq, a predicted model, not a curated record
UCCAUGAAUGGACCUUAGGUUAAAUUUUAUUAUGUGAUUAAUUAAAUUAAAUGUGAGAGACAUUUAAUUUAAUUAAUUAAUGUUAAGUUUGGUGAUUAAAACUUAAUAAGAGUGAAAAAAAGGUGUCAAAAGCCAAUUUGGACUUUUCUUCUUAUGAAACCUUUAUUAAAAAAAAAAAAAAAAAAUGAAAUGAUCAUAUAUGGCAAAGGGUGGCCGGCCAUGUGGUGUUUUAGAGUGGUGUGAACCCAAAUUUUAUAAAAUUUAAAUGCCAUUUAAUUAAGAGGUCAAGUGGGCAAGUGGGUAGAAAAGCACUCAAGUACCUUGUGAUAUUUUGAAGAGUAUUGUGAGCAAUUCCCACACUAAGAACCGAUCACUCUCCAUCUCUCAUUCACUAUCAUCUUUUUUGAAGACCUCUCAAAGUGUUCUCUCCAUUUUUCAAGCCCAAGAACACCAAGGAAACUUUGAGGCUAAGUCUUGGUCUAGGAAGUAUUUUCCCUAAGGGUUUUUGAAAGGUUUUGAAGGAGUCAAAGCUUAUAGGAAGGUCCAAACCUUAAGCAAGAACACCAAAGAGUAUUGGCUAAGCAUAACUGGACUGAACGUUGGAGGGUGAAAACUUGCUGAGCGCUAAGGACUCCAAGUAAGUGCAAGGGCAAGGCAGAGCAGUGAGCGCUGGAGUCUUCCUUGCAAAUGUACAUGUGGACCGACCUUUUGGGAAGCCUUUUUAUUUUUGGAAAUGUUGUGUAAUUUUCCUAAACUAGGCUCACUCUAAUCUUUAUAAAACAUGUUUGUAAUUAAAUGUUAAGUAUGGCCAUACGACUUUUUAAAAAGUUUUUUUUUCUA